AUUGAACGCUGGCGGCAGGCCUAACACAUGCAAGUCGAGCGAGCGGCGGACGGGUGGGUAAUGUAUGGGGACUGCCUGAUGGCGGGGGAUGACUACGGGAAACCGUAGCUAAUACCGCAUACCGUCAGUUAACCCAUAUGGGAUUAGGUUGUAGGUGAGGUAACGGCUCACCUAGGCGACGAUCCCUAGCUGGUCUGAGAGGAUGAUCAGCCACACUGGGACUGAGACACGGCCCAGACUCCUACGGAGGCAGCAGUGGGGAAUAUUGGACAAUGGGCGCAAGCCUGACGGAGCCAUGCCGCGUGUAUGAAGAAGGCUUUCGGGUUGUAAAGCACUUUCAGUAGGGAGGCGUUACCGACAGAAGAAGCAACGGCUAACUCCGUGCCAGCAGCCGCGGUAAUAC
This 403-nucleotide ribosomal RNA is filed under the name uncultured bacterium. RNAcentral's name for it is "partial 16S ribosomal RNA". It matches the Rfam family "Bacterial small subunit ribosomal RNA", at positions 30 to 526 of the family's 1533-position model. The record is from RNAcentral.